Molecule: transfer RNA, 85 nt
Filed under: Nevskiaceae bacterium
Lineage: Bacteria; Pseudomonadati; Pseudomonadota; Gammaproteobacteria; Nevskiales; Nevskiaceae
Description: Sinobacteraceae bacterium tRNA-Leu
Rfam family: tRNA
About the family: Transfer RNA (tRNA) molecules are approximately 80 nucleotides in length. Their secondary structure includes four short double-helical elements and three loops (D, anti-codon, and T loops). Further hydrogen bonds mediate the characteristic L-shaped molecular structure. tRNAs have two regions of fundamental functional importance: the anti-codon, which is responsible for specific mRNA codon recognition, and the 3' end, to which the tRNAs corresponding amino acid is attached (by aminoacyl-tRNA synthetases). tRNAs cope with the degeneracy of the genetic code in two manners: having more than one tRNA (with a specific anti-codon) for a particular amino acid; and 'wobble' base-pairing, i.e. permitting non-standard base-pairing at the 3rd anti-codon position.
Source: RNAcentral
GCGACCGUGGCGGAAUAGGUAGACGCAGGAGACUUAAAAUUUCCCGGCGAGAGCCGUGCCGGUUCGAUUCCGGCCGGUCGCACCA